This 3367-nucleotide long non-coding RNA is filed under the name Daucus carota (carrot). RNAcentral describes it as "long non-coding RNA (DCAR_LNC005117)". Lineage: Eukaryota; Viridiplantae; Streptophyta; Magnoliopsida; Apiales; Apiaceae. The record is from RNAcentral.
AGAACAGAGGUCCAAACCAAAGGAAAACCUUUGGUUUAAACCUCCAACUAGUAAAUUCUAACUUUAUCUACUCAGACAAUCUAUGUUCAUUCAAAGUAAACCAAGAGUAGAUAGAUAUAUGAUGAAAGAAAUUGAAACUGAUCCGAAAUAAUCAAAUCAUUUAGAAUCCAGUCAAAACAGCUAAAUUAAAAGUCUAGGAAAUUUCAGUUUCAGUUUUGAUUUUAGAGUAAAAUUGAACAAGAAUAAACCAAGCUAAACAAAGUAUAUGCAAAGAUUAUACUACCCUUUAUCCAAACAAAAGGUAGUGUUAUGCUAGAACUGUUAAGUCAACUAUCUAAAACUAGUUAUGUUUUUGAUUUUGCUCUUGUAUACAAUUUGAUAAGUCAACUUAUCUCUUGACGAAAACAUCCAAGGACCAGUCCUGUUUUGCACCUCCUUCCGGUUUACUCCAGGUUUUCGGCAAAAGUAGUACUAAUGUCGAGCACUAAACGUGGAAAGAAAACAUUCUUGGUUUAACCCCGGAAUUGGGGUGAUGAGUUUGUCCUCAACGGACUAAUAAACUAACCGGCAGGACCAAAUUUAUGUCAUUUUCUUUUCUAUAAUUUCAGUCUCAACUCAGUUUUCCUAUGCAUAAACUUAAUAUUUUCUCCAGUAUUAUAACAUGUGCAGGUCCCCUUAUGUUGUUUUUUGUCAUUAAGCAUAGGGAUUAAUUCCUUUACAUAAUUUGUAUCAAAAUUGGCUUUAUCCGUACCGUAUUUGUCCUAGUUUGUAUUGAAUUUCUGUGUAUUUUUUUAGUAUCCUUUAAGCAAAUAGAAAUUUCUUAUGUAAUAUAAUCCUAUUAUAUUCACCAUUUCUUUAUUUCCGGGUCCUGAUUGUAUGUUAUAUAUCUCCCCAGAAGUUCAAUAAUUUUUGUGUUACCGCUACUAUAACAUCAUAUGUGGGCUAUACUAUUCCAUUACUAACUGUUGAAACGUGUUCUUUGACAUUAUUUCACCCAAACUAUAUCUAGUAUAGAACUUCAAAACAAUCAUAACAUUGAAACCAAAUCAUAUUUUAUUCUCUCGACAAUACUAGUCAAAAUCCAACACUAAAAAACUUAUUUCCAGGCCUUUACCGGCCUUAUUUACAAACUAUUAUUUAACAAAUGCUGAGGAUUCCAACUGCUACUCUUGACUGCUUUUAUUAAGUUUCCCCUUUAUUUUCCUGCUAAUCAAAGAUAAACCAUUCCUCUUUCACCUCAGGUUAAUUCAAUUUAUUCUGAUCAUUUCUUCUUAAAUUGUGGUGUGUUAUCUUCCUGUCCUUCCUUUUGCACCCUUUUUGGUAGACUCUGGCGACCAUUGCCCGCCUCAUCCACCGCUUCCUUUUUGUUUUUUAUGUUUGUUGCAAUACUUACACUUUCACCUGUGACAUCAAAAUAAAACCCAGUUAUUGCUUUUCCAAGUUUCUCUGAGACCUAUUAUGCAUUUCUAUUAUCCACAUUAAUUACCAUAACUUGUAACUCCAGUUUUCAGCCGCUUGGCAUUAGAGUCCACUAUUUGUGUUUUUAGAGCCAUUUGAGAAGAGUCAUCAAACACUGGUGUCUGCUUAGUGUUUACCUCCUGUUCUUGUCAUACCACCUGAUAGGGACAGUAGUUCAACCCAGUAGCUUUUAGCGAAACAGUAUACUGAAGUGUUGGGUUUUGUCCCCUCUCCAGCUCUUCAAGUAACGCUGCACAAUCUUUCUAGAUAUGAUUUAUGUGACCACAAAAGGAGCAGAACUUAGAUAGCCUCUCAUAUCGGAAUGAGACCCAUAUAUUGUCCUUGUUCUUGUCUAAAUUCAGAAAUUUUCCCGUAAGUAGAGCUUUUGUGGAGUCCAAGCAUACUCUAAACCGCAUGAAGCUGCUUUGGUGUGUGGGGUCAAACUCCAUAAAUUCGCCCAUUGAAUUGGCUAUUUCUUUACCCAACUUUUCGCCAAAAGGCUUUGCAAGGAGACCUGGAGGGAUCCCGUGUACUUGUACCCAGAAGGGGAUCUUCUGGAAAGAUUCAGCAGUUAUUUGAGUCAUAGCAUCAGCCUCAAUCAAGAUUAGAUAACUUCCUCCGAAGGCCCAUGGUUGCCCUCUAAUUCUUCUAUUCUUAACCGCUUCUGACUCAAAUUUCAGAAUAAUAAUGCCAUCAGUAUAGUCCUCUAGCUUCACACCUGCUUUACUCUGCCAUAUAGACUCGAACAUGUUCUUCGGCCCAAUCUUGUUAAUAGCUCUUCCUGAUAGCAUUCUUGCAUAGAUGACUUUUGGGAGCUCUGAUUCACUGUACUCCAAGACAUUAGAUGGAUUGGUGAUAACUUCAAGCUCAUUGGACUUUAGCUGUAGUUUCAAAGUAUCACCCUCAGUUAAUGGGAUUGUUUCCUUAUCCAUACUGAGAAAUGUUUAUUCUUUUGUAUAAAGUGUUGGUGGAGAGAGGUGGUUGUAAGUAAGAUGUUUAGCUUAUAGUUUAUUUAUAUUCGUACAUACCCAAAAUUAAUCCUAAAUUUCGGCUUUGAAAAUGAGAUCAUGAUUAUAUAGAAUUUGUGUUAAUUAUAACCUUCCUUAACAGACUCAGUCUGUCUAAAAUCAGAUAUUCAUAAUAAGUUUCAACCAUCCAUUACGGAAUUUUAGGGAUCCAACUUUAAAGAUUUGUAUUCUGGUUUUUAGUUGGUGAAUUUGAAACCCACAAUUUUAAAUUACCUUCUGAAUCACGUUUCUGAUUCGUUUUAGAACCCCAUCAUUAUAAAUGGGAGUAUGUAAUAUUACAUGAUUCAAAUUAAACUCUCUGACCUGAAAUAACUCCAAAUUGCUCGUGAGAACAAAAUAGUCCAUCAUAGAUAAACUUUAUUAUGUUAAUAAGUGUAGAAAACUCUGGUUAUCAUUUCAUGUUUUUUAGAUAAGGUUCUAACUAUAAAACUAGUAAGUAUAACCUAUGACAUUUGUUAAAUAUUUAAACUCACUCACACAUUCCCUCUUACCUUAUCAUGAGUCAGCUUACUACACUUUAAUAAUAAUUAAGUUAUAGUAAUCUAUUCCUUAAAUGUUCCCCCAACAGUUCGUUGAUUCCCGCCUAACCCUUUUCAGAGUUAGGUUUAUUCAAAUUUUAGGUACCCUCAUGGUUUUAAAUAUACCCUUAGUCAAUACUUAAUUCUAUAUUCCGUCUAGGAAACUCCAUAAUUCUAGUCCUUAAAAACCUUCUUAAUCUAUACUUAUUGUAAUUUGACUAUCUCUCUCCACUUAGUCCCCGAUUUUAGCUAAGUAUGAAAUUGAGCAUCUCUAUUCACCCUGAUUAAAAGAGGUCUUAACACCUGAUAUGCCAGAAUAUUAAAUUUCAAUCUUUUGUAUAGGCUUUCCUUCUAUAUCCUUUU